UUCAGUGGAAGGGACUUGCAACCCUUUUCAUACGGCUUGGAUGGAUCAUUUGGUCUAAAAGGAAAAGGAAUUAAAAGCUGACAAAAUCAUUGCUUUCUUGCUCAAAUCAUCACGGGCAUUGGAAGGCAUAAGAGUGGUUCACUUGAAUGGUUAUGUGGAGAACUUUGAACAUCCUGUUUCAGUUAGCCAAGUCACUGGCAAGCCUGCAAAGCACUUCGUAUGCACCCCAUCUCAGCUUCUAUCCACCACCACUGGCUCCAAACUACUAAAGCCCGAUGCCCAACUUGAACUAGGCAAAAUCUAUUUAUUGCUACCAUUCUCAGCAUUACAAGCUGAGGUUUCCCCUAUGGACUUGGCCUGUGUAGUGAAGAAGCUAACCGCGGUAGCAAAAACUAGCCGGUGUGAGGCUAAAUCUCUCCGAGAUAGUCCCUUGAUGAGUCCAUAUGGCUCAACCCCUGUAUUGAAUUCACCAUCUAGAAGUCCUAACCGGUUUGUGGCGCCAGAGGCAGCCAUGGCACCUUCCGAUGCGCAGAGAUCAUCUAGAGCUCGGUCAUGGAAGCCUAUAUUGAACACCAUUAGAGAGAAGUCGUUCAAUCGUGGAAGUGAAUCAGAUUUGCAAGAAAAGCAUUCGGAGAUGGUCCAAAUCCCAAUAGCUUGAGUUUGAGGUAGGUGGUGUGCUUGAUGCAUAAAAAUAUCAAAAGGAAGGAAUAGGGGUUAGGAGAUAUUGGCAGAGAUGUAAUAGGUGUUGAUUAUAAGUGAAAUUGUGUUACUUUGUGAUUUAGCUUCAUUGAUCUUAAAAUAGUGUAUCAGCAUAAAAUGUGAAUUUGGAAUUCAGUACAGUUUUUAUAAGUAUAUGAGUUCAUAUUAAACUUUUAAAUCGUACAAUUUUCAGAAA
Juglans regia (Persian walnut) is the source of this 895-nucleotide RNA transcript. RefSeq lists it as uncharacterized. The transcript is spliced from 2 exons. Lineage: Eukaryota; Viridiplantae; Streptophyta; Magnoliopsida; Fagales; Juglandaceae. The record is from RefSeq and is a predicted model, not a curated record.